GUGUUAUAGUGUUUGCAUUAUUGACGCAAUCAUUGACUGAAUCAGUGUUUGUGUUGAUCUCAAGUCAUGUCAAUCAUCGCCGAAACGGACGACUCAUUGAGUGUAGUGUUAAGUGAAGAGCACUUAUUGUCCACAUUUGAGCCAUUCUUGAGAUCGUUGGACACAUCGGUUGAGUCGGUGAUCGCCGCACAACAAUCACUGGCCGACCAAUUGAUUCAAUUACAACAACUCAUACAACAUAUUGAACGCAAUCCAGAUGUGAGUCAAGUCAUUGAAGACAAGACAACUCGUAUCAAGACUUUGAAGCGAAGACUAACUCUUAUCCAUAGCAUUGUCCAGAAUUCACAGCAACGCAUCCGAAGACUUAUCAAACAAUUACCUAAUAAUUAAAACAUUCCGUUAUCUUAACAAUUGAUCCAUUUGUGGUGAUAAUGAGUGCCACUAAACGCAAAUCAGACUCAAAUGUGAUGAUUGAAACUGACGAAGACGUGUAUUAUUUGAUCGCUAAAGAGUGUAUGGAUUCACUUAUCGAUUCAAUUGAAGGCCAAUUCAAUAACAAUACCAUUACUGAUGUUAAUUGUGAAACCACUUCAAUCGAUGCUAACAAUGAUGAAGAACUUUGUAGCGAAAUUUGGGACGACUUAGACUUUGAUACCAAUUGUCUUAAUAAUUAUCAAAUGAUAUCAAACCACUCAUUGCCAUCUAAUGUUAAUAAGAUGUGUUGCACUUCAUUUGAUGCCAAUUAUCAAUUUAAACAACAAUAUGAGUUACUCUCAGACCAAUUGACGACCAAAGCAACAGCUAAGCCGCCUAUAGACGCGACACGAGUGGCCACUCAAUUGCUAUUGGAUUUGGACGCUAUUAAUGAUGCCAUUAUUGGAUUAAAACACCGAUUGAGUGGACCCGUUGUCAAUAAAUUCAAACAUUAAGUUUUGUUUUUCAUUUGUUUUUUGUUAAAUUGUUUAUUCAAGUUAUUUAUUCA
RNA transcript from Oppia nitens, 982 nucleotides. RefSeq lists it as uncharacterized. The transcript has 2 exons. The record is from RefSeq and is a predicted model, not a curated record. NCBI's taxonomy places the organism in Eukaryota, Metazoa, Arthropoda, Arachnida, Sarcoptiformes, Oppiidae.